This is a long non-coding RNA of Macaca mulatta (Rhesus monkey), 517 nucleotides long. RefSeq lists it as uncharacterized. The record is from RefSeq and is a predicted model, not a curated record. Lineage: Eukaryota; Metazoa; Chordata; Mammalia; Primates; Cercopithecidae.
GGGGAAGUGGGGGCAAAUAAUAAGCAGUAUUGGUUCCAGAUGCUUCUCUGGCCCAAGUAUUUGACAUACCCAUGGGCAAAUUGAAGAUGCCUUGGGCAGCAAGCAGACACUGCCAGGGGUUCUUGGUGGAAGGGAGUCACUCACCGGCAUUGUUCUGCUGCUUGGUGUUUUUGAUGUAGGCAGAGAACUUGGAAAAGAUGUCAAUGCCUGCUGUGUUGGAUUCCCGGUGUUUUGCAGCCAGUUUGGGGUACCUGAAAUGGAGGAUGCAGUGUUCUGUGAAUCACUAGACUUGGAGCUCCUUUAAGGAGCCUUUCAUUUUGAAGCCAGAAUAAUACAAGAGGCAGGCCGGAGUUAGGACGAUUGGCCUUGAAACUGAAGGAGGUAAACUUGCUCAUGUGGGAACCCAGGGCUUGGACUCAUUAGCCCCAUCAAAGUGAGAAAAUCAACUCAACCCUGGCCCUGCAAAACCCUUUGGGAGAUCUUUCUUCUCUCUUUCCCUGCUGAAGGAAACUUGGAG